Long non-coding RNA from Ornithodoros turicata, 1196 nucleotides. RefSeq lists it as uncharacterized. Lineage: Eukaryota; Metazoa; Arthropoda; Arachnida; Ixodida; Argasidae. The transcript is spliced from 3 exons. The record is from RefSeq and is a predicted model, not a curated record.
GGCUGUCAACGAUAUUUCGAUAAAUUUUAUAAGCUCUGAAAAAUGAUGUUUCACCUUUUUUCCGGCUUACAGCUGCACCAAGUUUCCCCAGGCAAGUGUCGCGUGCAUUAAAAAGCGCCUGGCAUGUCUCCUGGCCCAGGAACUAAGGCUCUUCUCACGUCGCAUGCUAACUCGCUGCAAUCCUGGCAGUUACUCCUGGAUGUUCCUGGAUAGGCAACACCGAGAGCGGACUCCAGUUUGCGGCCUGUCUUUCUGCCCAUUUCUUCACGUAUUUCGGAGUGUUUCCGCUGUUCAUAUGCCUCCACCGACUUUCUUCAUGGCUUAAGCGGUGUGACAUAAAACAAAAACCGACAAACCGACACAGCACUGCCAACGAAGGAGCCUAUUGUGCCCUAAGUGGUCUAAAGCCAGAUCAAGAAAUGACUACAAUGCGACAAGAAAUAGCCUGGCAGGGAACGCUCAAACCCGUGCGCGACGACAUCGUCUUGUGGGAGGCAGUUUUUUUCCUCCUCUGCUAUUUCCCGAACCCCGCGCAGCGCAGAGAAUUCCGAAAGCGUUUAUUUCUCCUAACUCACUGAUGGCUUCAACAUAUAUUUUUUUCCUGUUCAUUCGAGACAUCAAGUGUACCGGAGUGUUGGAUUUGCGGUGGAGGUAGCCAAUUGUGUAACUGACAAUAGAACAAUGCAUGCAGGAUUUUCUCAUGGAACAAUGAGAACUCUGCUUUCUUUAUUUCUGUACCCAUGAGAUUGCACCAAUUUCUUGAUUACCUGUAAUCGAAUGCUUUGCACUUGACUUCCCAGAAGACACUGCAGAUGAAGGAGCAUAUUUCUUAUUUCCCCUUAUUUCUGCAGGAAAUUGCGUUAUAUCACCUGUCGGCUAUUCACAAGGAGGAUAUGGGGUGCUCUGAGAAAGUACAAUAGAAAGUAUUCUUCCUGCCUGCGUCGUGCAUGCUAUUAGGGAUGCUUUUCCCAUCAGUGUGCAGACUUGUAGAAAUGUAUAUAUUGAUGUCUGCAAAUUUUCAUUUCUUGCUUGCUGCAAGUUUUUCUCAUUUCUUUUUCUUUGCAGUCAAAUUAUAAUUAUUAGUUUGUUCCUGGAGGGUUCAGUAGCCUGGGGGCAUAUUUGUAUUUGUAGGUUAUACUCAUGUCUUGUAUAUAUGAGGAGUAAAUCAGACAAUUUUCAUCAGUGUCAUUCAGCUG